Molecule: ribosomal RNA, 253 nt
Filed under: uncultured bacterium
Lineage: Bacteria
Description: partial 16S ribosomal RNA
Rfam family: Bacterial small subunit ribosomal RNA
Source: RNAcentral
CACGUAGGAGGCGAGCGUUGUCCGGAAUCAUUGGGCGUAAAGAGCGCGCAGGCGGCUUGGCAAGUCGGGUGUGAAAUCCCGGGGCUCAACCCCGUGACUGCAUUCGAUACUGUCAGGCUAGAGGUAGGUAGGGGAGAUCGGAAUUCCUGGUGUAGCGGUGAAAUGCGCAGAUAUCAGGAGGAACACCGGUGGCGAAGGCGGAUCUCUGGGCCUUACCUGACGCUAAGGCGCGAAAGCUAGGGGAGCGAACAGG